RNAcentral lists this ribosomal RNA (310 nucleotides) under uncultured bacterium. RNAcentral's name for it is "partial 16S ribosomal RNA". It matches the Rfam family "Bacterial small subunit ribosomal RNA", at positions 503 to 807 of the family's 1533-position model. The record is from RNAcentral.
AAGAGACAGCAGCCGCCGCGGUAACACGGAGGGUGCAAGCGUUAUCCGGAUUUAUUGGGUUUAAAGGGUCCGUAGGCGGAUCUGUAAGUCAGUGGUGAAAUCUCACAGCUUAACUGUGAAACUGCCAUUGAUACUGCAGGUCUUGAGUAAAUUUGAAGUGGCUGGAAUAAGUAGUGUAGCGGUGAAAUGCAUAGAUAUUACUUAGAACACCAAUUGCGAAGGCAGGUCACUAAGAUUUAACUGACGCUGAUGGACGAAAGCGUGGGGAGCGAACAGGAUUAGAUACCCCCGUAGUCCCUGUCUCUUAUAC